UACGUAGGGGGCAAGCGUUAUCCGGAUUUACUGGGUGUAAAGGGAGCGUAGACGGAUGGACAAGUCUGAUGUGAAAGGCUGGGGCUCAACCCCGGGACUGCAUUGGAAACUGUCCGUCUUGAGUGCCGGAGAGGUAAGCGGAAUUCCUAGUGUAGCGGUGAAAUGCGUAGAUAUUAGGAGGAACACCAGUGGCGAAGGCGGCUUACUGGACGGUAACUGACGUUGAGGCUCGAAAGCGUGGGGAGCAAACAGG
Molecule: ribosomal RNA, 253 nt
Filed under: Blautia luti
Lineage: Bacteria; Bacillati; Bacillota; Clostridia; Lachnospirales; Lachnospiraceae
Description: partial 16S ribosomal RNA
Rfam family: Bacterial small subunit ribosomal RNA
Source: RNAcentral